ACCGCGACCACGAUCGUGUCCUCGGCCUCUAGUGGCCAUAGUUGGUGGUACUGGUGGUCGUCUAUCCUGACUGAUAGCGCGAUGUCCUCACCAUCUGUGAGAGAAUAGAAUAACAGAAUGUUAGUACUCGGAUCAACAAAUUCGCACGACAAGAAUUUUAAGAAUAUGAAGUUUUUCCUAAAGGUUCUGCAGCCUCUUGAGGAUAAAUACAGAUGUCUCUGUACCGAUCUGCGAGACUCUACUAAACCUGCUCAUAACUCGUGAGACCUAUGUAACCUAGGCUCUGGUACCAACUUGUCAUGACCUUAAACCCGGACCCGGUCAUGAUGGCGCCUCUCGUGAAGUCAAGGCCAGCCGACAUUUCCCAUUUCAGUUUUUAAGCAAUUAAACAAUAAGAUUCAAAUCUAAAUCAUGAUAAAUAAUCCAAAGUUUAAGCAGUCAAUAAUACAAAUUUGCAGAAGAACAACCCAACACAGUCCGAUACCAGGGUGUCACUAGUCAUGAGCAUCUAAAAUCUGAAAUAAUCAAGAAAAGACUACAGAGUUCCGUACAAAACUAAAACAAGGAUAAACAAUACAGGGAAGAAGCUCUGGGCAGCAAAAGCCGGCAACUACCUAGAGAAUUCUCGGAUCCACCUGAGCUGGAAGGAUCAACACUCGGGAGCGGGACUAGAUGCGCCUGAAUCUGCACAUGGGGUCCAGGGAGUAAAGUGAGUACUCCAACUCAGUGUAAUAAUCAUAAAUAAACACUGAAAGCAUUAAUUCACGUAAGGCACAUUACAGGCUAUAACUAGGCAGUAAAACCAAUAAAAACAGUAAAUCAGUAAAAGAUAUGUGAAAGUCAUUUUAGUUCAAAUUACACUUAUGAAAAGCCUUUUUCAACAAUUAAGCAGGUAAAUGAUAGGCAAUUAAGGAAGUUAAACACAUAAAGGUUUGCCCCUCGGGCAUAGCAUCAACAAAUCCUCCCCUCGGGCAUAGCAUCAACAAAUCCUCCCCUCGGGAAGUAUCUCAGAAUAAUAGUAGCCCCUCGGGCUAUAUCUCACAUCACAAUGGGUACCCGCGCUCACUAGGGGUGUGCAGACUCCUGGAGAGGCCCUUUACGGCCUAAGCGCAAUAUCAAGCCAUCUCGUGGCAUCAUCACUAGGCUCUCGGCCUCAUAUCAACAAGCCACCUCGUGGAGUACACAUCUCAGGCCCUCGGCCUCAUAAGCAUAAUCAGUAUUUCCUCACAACAUAGGCCCUUGGCCUUACUCAGUCAAAAUCUCACAGCCACUCGGGCAACAGUAAAACAUAGUGCUUAGCCCAAAAUAUCAUUUAAGUGUUAAAGUAGAGUAAACAUGGCUGAGUUACGAAAAUAGUAGAAUAUAACAUGAUUGAGUUCAAGUAUAAAGUCAAAAUAGUUGCGGUACCGCAUUUGCGGUUAUUUCUCCGCUUCUGCGGAAAUCACUUAACUUACGGUUUUCUGCUUAUGCGAUCCCUCAUCCGCAUUUGCGACAUUGCAGAUGCGGUCCAUCUCACCGCUUCUGCAGUUCCUGACUCCCUCAGAACUUCAGUUUCUGCUACCUCCCUUAUUGCACAUGCGGUCCCCAAUUCGAAUGUGAGGAAAUACCAGAAGCAACACCUUCAACAGCUGCAACAAAAUUCCAACUUCUCUGUUAACCAUCUGAAAUCACCCCGAGGCCCCCGGAACCUCAACCAAAAGAACAAACAUAUCCUAAUACCUUAUUCAAACUUGUACCAAUCUUUAAAACACCUCAAAUAACAUCAAAUCAACCAAAACCCAUCAGAUUCAAGCCAAAUUUUCUAAAAUCUUCCAAAUUCCGCUUUUGAUCAAAAACCCAACCAAACCUCGUCCGAAUGACAUGAAAUUUUGCACAUACAUCCUAAAUGAUACAACGGAACUACUGCAACUCUCAGAAUUCCAUUCCGACCCCUCUAUCAAAAUCUCGCCUACCAACCGGAAAUUGCCAAAAUAUCAACUUUGCCAAUAAAAGCCUAAAUCUACUACGAACCUCUAAAAUUCAUUUCGAUCACGCUCCUAAGUCACAAAUCACCUCCCAAAGAUAGCCGAACCAUCAAAACUCACAUACGAGCCCUCUAACACAUAAGUCGAUAUCUGGUUGACUUUUCCAACUUAAACUCACUCUUAAGAGACUAAGUGUCUCAAACCUUACCAAAUCCUUUCCGAACUCGAUACGACCAACCCGAUACCACAUAACACGGAUAACAAGGCAUAACAAAGCAGAAAUAGGGAAAACGGAGUGGUAACUCAUGAGACGACUGGCCGGGUCAUCAUAAUAUUCCCCUACCUCUCCCCCUUGUGUGAGAUUUGUUCUGAAGCUGUAUGUUCUCUAGCCUGCUUUCUAACUAUUUUUUUUAAAUGCCUUAUUAAAUUGUUCCUACUCUUUACUCUGUUCUGACUUUCAUAAAUGUUCUUUCUACUAGUAAGAUCUUCAUUCUCUAUCUACCAAACCCUUUCAAAGUCAUUAUGCACUCCCACAUUACUCCUAGAGUAUUAGGUUCUGCCCCUCUGGCAUGUCAGAGCUGGCCUUUCCACACUGCACUUAAAUCAGUUAUUGUUGAGAAAGGGUUUAGGUGUGAGCACUACCCGGGAUCCUUGAGGUCCUUAGGGAACUUUGACACACCUAGACAUGAUAUCGUCUAUGGAACUUUGGUAUUGAGGCUAUCGGAGGCUUGGGAAAUCAUUUGGGCCUGCUUCAGGCUCCCUAUAGUUAACUUCUUUUUUUUUAUUUGUUUAUGUAAUUUAUUUCAGACGGUAUGUAAUAAUUAUAUAUAAACAACAUUGGGGUGAUUAGUGAAAAGGGAUGGGUAGUUAUAUCUGUUAGGGUAAUUCGGGUAGAUACCAUGCCUAUAGGAUUGUGUUAAUACACUUGUUAUGUUUGCUUUACUUUCACAAUAUUAGAAAUUAUGUCUAUAGGGUUAAAAUCAACUUUAUAAUUAGAAAUCAUGCUUAUAGGAUCUAAAUGGCUUUGUAAUUAGAAAUCAUGCCUAUAGGAUUUAAAUGGCUUUAAUAACUAGAUACCAUGCCUAUAGAGUGUAAAGUAAUUGAGUUCAAUUUCUGCCACUACAUGUAUUUGCAUUUGUUUCACUAAAAAUCAUGCCUAUAAGUUCCAACAUCAGCUCUUAACAAUUAGAUACCAUGCCUAUAUGAAUUAAAAUCAAAAAUCCUACCUACAGAACUAAAAUCAGUUUGGUUAAACAAGUCAGUUUAAUUCAUGUCUAAUUCGUGUUCAAAUUGGUUCAAUUACUGUCCAUUUCUUUAAAUGAGUUUCCAAACACUGCCUUAAUUUACUACCGCUAGAAAACAUGUCUAUAGGAUCUCAAAUAUCUAUUUAAAACUGUUCGCUAUUUUACUAAAUCAAGGUAGAUAUCCUGCUCUUAGGACAUCACUGUCUGCGUUUAGGCAAGCCUAUAGGGCGAUUAAAAUUUUGCAACUCUGAAAUUGUGUUUUUGCUAUUUAAACUGUCCAGAUUUAAUAGGUUUAAACCAGUAGGCAAGCUAAAUAGGAUUUUGACACUUUGUCCUAAUUCAAGGCUGUGUAAUCCCUGCUCACCUAGAUACCAUGUUCUAGGAUCUUCUCUUAAAUACUGGACUAUUGUUUGAAGACGUGCAAUUACUUGUUAUAUUUGUGGAGGUAACUUUGGGCCUAUAACUUGUUCCCUUUAAAUGCAAUCCUAACCGUUCUUGAUUGAUUCCUAGACUUUUAUCCUUUAAAACCUUAGGAGGGUCUAGAACUGUCCAAAAGUAGAGGUCCUGAAAUACCUCCAGGGCCACGAGGAGGGGACGGGUAGUGCACACAUAAGACAUUUUAAUGUUAUUAGAAUGCUUUAGGUUAUGAUGACUACGCGCUAAUAUCACGUCUAGCCCCUUAUUGAGGAGUGUUUACCGGGCAUUGUGUGGGGUGAUCCUGUAGGCUAAUCAACAUAGGAUCCCUUUCUCCAAUUCCCAAUGUACUUUACUUUUUUAUAUGCAACUUGCUCAAAUUCUUUGUCUUAUUAUUAUUUGAGUCAAACAGUGUCCGAUAUACUUUUAUUUACAAAUUAUGUGUUUCAACUUCUUGUUUUUAAAGGACUAAUUCAUAAGUAUGAGUUCGGCCAGGACCCACUAUUGUGGACCAAGAGGGGUGCCUAACACCUUUCCCUCAAGGUUAUUUCGAGCCCUUACCCUAAAUCUCUAGUAAUGCAAAUUAGUCUAAGUGUUAAUUACUCUAGGUGCCCUAACGCACCAUAAAUCCGUUAGGUGGCGACUCUUCAAAUACCCAAAUCCCAAAACCCCCCAUGAACGUCGGAACCCGGAAUUCUCUCCGCGAAGAGAAAAAAGGGGCGCGACACUACUUAUUUCCUGCAUCGUUAGUGUGGAAGUUUCAAAUAAUUUUUUACUGUGCUGUUUUGGAUUGGAUAACCAGUCGUUGGAUGAUUUUUUUUUCUUUUCUUGUUUUGCUAUAAAAAGAAAUAAUCAAAGCUGAAGGGAGAAAUAAAUCAAAGAUUGAUUGAAGCAUCUAAAAGGAAAAAGAGCGCUAAGAAUCCGACAAGAAAAUCAAUCAGAGAUUGCCUGAAGAGUUAAAAAGGAAAAAACGCAUUAAAGAUGGAAGGAACCAUAUUUAAGGAGCAAACACGGCGCUAUUAAGGCUUGAAGAUGGAAGGUGUCAAAGUCCACACAUCAAGGAAGAGUAACGGGCAUUUACCUUAUUCUUGGAAAGAAUCAAUUUCUUUCCAAGGAUCAAAUCUCUUGGGUUGACAAAUCUGUUCAGUAACAGUCUCCUACAAAGUAUUUAUACGCAACCUUAGGACUUAGAGACAUAUACUUUGAUCAAACCAAUUAUCCUCUCUUUGUUCUACCACAAACAAACAUUGUAGCUUUACUAGAUCUACCGUGUAACAACUUAGAGAAGAAAGAGAGAAAAAUACUAGUGAGGCAUUGUAUCAAGAAAAGACGAGUGACAUAAAAACUGAGUUGUUGGUGUAAACUACACCAUUCACUUUGUACUCAAGAAACUCAAUCCCUGAAAGAGAAAUCCCUUGCAACCCAAGGGAACUGGACUAGGAUUCACAUUGAAUCCGAACCAGUAUAAAACCUCCGUGUCUUUAAUUCUUGCAAUUUACUUCUGCAUUUUAAUUCUGCACCUUUUGAUAUCUUGCUAUUACAUCUAGCCGACUAAUUGAAAAAAUAAUCAACUUAUAACAAUUAAUUUUAAUAAUAAAUCAAUUCACCCCCCUCUUGUACUUUCAUGUACUUAUCUUCUAGAGGCUAUGAAGUUUAGGAACAAAUUUCACUUUUACUCUUCUUUGUCGUGUGAUUUUACUCUCUCAUUGCUCAUUGAACUCUUCUACUCUUGUUCUCUCACAGAUGGUGAGAACAUGUACUGCAUUUCAAUCGGAGACCCCAGUGGCAGCUCCUAUGAGAAGUAGAGGUCGAGGCUGAGGUAGAGGUAGAGCUCAGCCCAGAGCUCGAGCACCAGCACCAGCACCAGUAGUAGAGUCUUAGGUGGAGUUUGAUGAGGAGGUUCCAUCCUAGACUGUGCCUAUUGGACCAGCUCAGGUCCCGGAGGGGUUCAUCGCCACCCUUGUGCUUCAAGACGCUCUAGUCCGUUUAUUGGGCCUUAUGGAUAGUGUGUCCCAGGCCGGUACAUUCCCUAUAGCACCACCCAUAUAUCAGGCUGGGAGAGGAGCAAAGACUCCCACUACUCACACUCCGGAGCAGAUGAACCCUAAUACCAGACUCCAGCAGCCCAGCCAGUUAGGGUAGUUUAGCUGGUGUUGUGGCAUAUGCCGGUGAUGGACUAACCAUGUCUUCUGAGGGCUUAUUGAGAUUGGACAAGUUUACCAAGCUCUUACUAGUUCACUUCAGUGGUGCACCUUCUGAGGAGCCACAGGAUUAGCUUGGCCGCUGUCAUGAGGUGCUGCGGAACAUGGGGAUAGUUGAGACCAAUGGGGUCGAUUUUGCUUUGUUUUAGAUGAUGAUUUCCACCAAGAGAUGAUGGAAGGAUUUUGUAGCUACUAGACCAGUCGGGUCGUAUGCUCUUACUUGGGACUAGUUCUCUCAGAUAUUUCUUGAGAAGUUCUUUCCUGUCAUACUGAGAGAGGAUUAUCGCAAGCAGUUUGAGCGUCUCCAUCAGGGCAGUAUGUUAGUCACUCAGUAUGAGACUCGUUUUGUGGAUCUGGCCAGUCAUGCUAUUCUUCUGCUUCCUACCAAGAGAGAGAGAGAGAGAAGGUGUGGAGGUUUAUCGAGGGACUCGCUCAGCCUAUCAAAUUGCAGAUGGUUAAGGAGACCGGGAGCGAUAUUUUUUUCUGACAGCUGCUAAUGUCACCUGGCGAGUCGAGAUGGUUCUUGCAUAGGGGGAGGUAACGGAUCUGACAAGAGGCCUCGUCAUUCCAGUGGGUUCAGUGGUGCCUCGUCUGGAGGCAGGGGUACUUUCGGUAGAGGCCAUCCUCACAGGCCGUUUUAUUUAGCACUCCAGGCGUCCCAUAGUGCUACAGGUGGUUGUGGCCCUCAUAUGCCUCAUUCUGACUAGCUAACCUAUAGUGCACCACCAGCUCCUAUUAGUGCACCUCGGCUCCAGAGUUUUCAGGGUGGUUUCUCGGGUUGACAUGGUCAGUUUUAGGGUCUGCAGUCACAGCAGCCAAGGUCCUGUUAUACUUAUGGUGAUCUGAGGUAUAUUGCUAGAUUUUUUCCUCGGGCAUCGAGCAUCUCACAAUAUCAAGGUUCUCGUGCCAUGGUCCCAGCACUGGUGCUUUACUGCCCGCUAAUAUAGCUAGAGGUUGGGAUCAGACAGCUAGAGGUAGAGGUUAGGCUAUCAGAGGUGGUGGUCAGUCUGCUAGAGGUGGAGGCCAGCCAGCUAGGGCCCGUCCAUAGAGAUAUAGUUCAGAGUGGUGGGGCCCAGCCUCGAUGCAAUGCUUUUCCAGCUAGGCCUAAGGCUGAGUCAUCUGACGCCGUUAUCAGAUGUAUUGUUUCAGUUUGCCGUAGUGAUGCUUCAGUUCUAUUUGAUCCGGGCUCUACUUAUUCCUACGUGUCAUCCUAUUUUGCUUCAUAUUUGGUUAUGCCUCGUGAUUCUUUGAGUGCUUCUAUGUAUGAGCCUACACCUAUGGGAGAUGCUAUUGUUGUAGAUUGUGUUUAUCAUUUGUGUGUGGUUACAAUUGAAAGUCUUGAGACUAGUGCAGAUCUUCUACUUCUUGAUAUGGUAGACUUCGAUGUUAUCUUAGGCAUAGAUUGGCUAUCACCGUAUCACACUAGAUUGGAUUGUCACGCCAAGACGGUGACCUUAGCCUUGCCAGGGUUGCCUCGAUUAGAGUGGAGAGGGACUCCUGGCCAUUCUACCCGGAGGGUUAUCUCUUAUGUGAAGGCUCGGUAUAUGGUCGAGAAGGGGUGUCUAGCUUAUCUGGCUUAUGUCCGCGAUUCUAGUAUGGAGGUUCCUUCCAUGGAUUCAGUACCUAUUGUUUGUGCGUUUCCAGAGGUAUUUCCUACAGACUUGCUGUCAUGAUCCUAAAACUCACCCGGUCAUGAUGGCGCCUAUCGUGAAACUAGGCCAGCCGACACAAACCCAAAACCAACUAGAAAAUCAUAAGAAGCCAUUUUAAGCCAUUAAUUAACUAAAAUCCCAUAAUAUAAGUUUAAACAAGCAGUGCGGAAAUAUAACACAAGCCCGACAUCGGGGUGUUACCAGUCAUGAGCAACUACAAACUUUUCUAAGAACAAGGAAAGGCUAACAUAGUCCGAAAAUAAAAUACUAAGACAAUCUGAGUAAUAAGAAGGAGAAAUGUAGGGCUGCGAACGCCAAGAAGCUACCUAGCCAACUCUGGAGACCUGCUGGAAGACUGAUCAGCACUCACUAUCACGUCCCGAGACUCAUGAAUCUACACACAUGGUGCAGGGAGUAAUGUGAGUACGCCAACUCAGUAAGUAUUAAAAGUAAAAGAAGCUAAGCAGUAAGAAAACAUGUAAUUCCACGUCAUAGAACUACAACAAAAUAGUAUAUGUCCAGAACAAUACAGUAAAUCAAUUAACUCGUAAAACAACUCGGUUCAGUAAAACCCUUUUAAAACAUCUUUCAAUAGUUUCAAACGAGUGAUGAAAACAGUGAGUAAAAGGAUAGAAAGUAAAUGGCCCCUCGGCCAAAACAUGUAUCAAAAACUGCCCAUCGGGCAAAAUAUCAACAAAACCAGCCCCUCGGGCAACAACAUGAAACAACAAGAGCCCCUCGGGCAAUAUCAUAUCACUCACACUGGGACACGCACUCACUGGGGGUGUUCAGACUCUAGAAGGGCUCCUACAGCCCAAGCGCUAUCACAAGCCAUCACGUGGCAUAGCAAAUCAGGCCCUCGGCCUCUCAUAUAUCACAAAUCAGUACAACAUGCUAUGACGCACAGCCCGAUCCCAUAAUAUCCUCACAACACAGGCCCUCGGACUCACUCAGUCAGAAAUCUCUCAAGCCACUCGGGCAAUAGUAAAACAUGAUGCUCAGCCCAAAAUAUCAUUUAAAUUAUCAAAAUGGAGUAAGUACGGCUGAGUUAUAAAAACAGUAGAAUACAACAUGACUGAGUUUAGAUAUUAAGUAAAACCAUUAAGGAAUAGUAGUAAAAAGCCCCUAAGGGUCCAAAACAGUUGGCAUGAGGCCCAGAUAUGGCAUUCAAUCCAAAACAUGGAAAUACUUUCCAAAACACAAUGAUAUCAAAUAGUUUUCAAUCAAAUACACGACUUAACAGUCGUACCGGACAGACCAAGCCAGAAUCCCCAAUGGUGCACGACCCCACACUCAUCAUCUAGCGUGUGCAUCACCUCAAAGUAGCACAACGAUGUGAAAUCUGGGGUUUCAUACCCUUAGGACAAUAUUUACAAUCAUUACUAACCUCGAUCCGGUCCAAACUCUAGCCCGCAAUGCCUUUGUCUCUCUAUUUGUUCUCUAAAUGCUCCAAAUCUAACCAAAAUCAGUAUCAUACCAUAAAUACGCGCUAAAGGAACAAAGCCCAAGCGAAAUAAUCAAAUUAACUCAAAAAUCCUAAAAUUGGUCAAACCCGACCCCAGGCCCACAUCUCGGAAUCCGAUAAAAAUUACAUCAAUAGAAUCCUUAUUCUCCCACGAGUCCAUACAUACUAAGAACAUCAAAAUCGGAACUCAAAUGUCCCCUUAAAUCCCCAAUUUACACUCUCUAAUUUCAACCCCUAAUUCCCCAAUUUUAGGCUUUAAAUCCCACUAAUUUCAUGUCUAAAUAGUUAGAAAUCAUCAUAGAAUUGAGUAUUGAGUUCAAAAACCUUAUCUCCAAGUGUUUCGCUUCGAUUCCAUCUCCAAUACCUCUCAAAAAGCUUCAAAGCCGUUCAAAAAUGGUGAGAAAUGGGCUAAUAAUCGCGAAGAUGAGUUUUUAUACAUUCUACCCAGGUGCUCUCUUCAUCGCGAACGCGACCGUCCUCUCGCGUUCGCGUAGGCCAAUAUCAGACUUCCUCUGCUUAACCAUUUGUGAAUGCGACAACUUCUUUGCGAAUGCGAUGCUCAACCAGCUCACUCCUUCGCGAACGCAGACCUCGCCUCGUGAACACGUAGACCAAAGACCUGGGUUCCCCAACUGCCUCACUCCUCUUCGCAAAUGCGACCCCACUCACGCGUCCGCGAUGCACAUGAUGCCUUAACCUUCGCGUUUGCGUCCUCUCCUUUGUGAACGCGUAGAACAAAAUUCACUACCACAGAAGACACUCUUUGCGAACGCGAGACACCCUUCGCAAACAUGAUUAACAAAAUCUCUGCAACAGAAAACCAGCAAAAUCUGCUAACUCCUCAAGUCCAAAAUGACCUGUUGAGCAUCCGAAACACACCCGAGGUCCUUGGGACCUCAACCAAAUAUGCAACACAUCCCAUAACAUCAUUCAAACUUGUUCCAACCUUCGGAACACAUAAAACAACAUCAAAACAUCAAAUCACCCUCAAAUUUAAGCAUAAGGAUUCUAGAACUUCCGAAUUCCGCAAACGUUCAAAAUGUCUGUCAAACAUCACUUGAAUAACCUGAAAUUUUGCACACACGUCAAAAAUGACACAACAGACCUACUCUAAUUUUCAGACUUCCAUUCUAACCCCGAUAUCAAAAUUUCCACUGUCAACCGAAAAAUGCCAAAUUUUCAAUUUUGCUAAUUCAAGCCUAAAUCUACCACGGACCUCCAAAAUACAUUCCAGUUAUGCUCCUAAGUCUCAAAUCACCUAACGAAGCUAUCCGAACCAUCGAAAUUCACAUCCGAGGCCUUUUUCAUAUAAGUCAAAAUCCGGUUGACUCUUCCAUCUUACGCUUACUCAAAAGAGACUAAGUGUCUCAUUUCUCUAUAAAAACCACUCCAAACCUGAACCAACCACCCCAAUACCACAAAAUACAGCUGAACAAGACAUAAGGAAGAAGCAAUGGGGGAAACGAAGCGGUAACUCAUGAAACAACCGGCCGGGUCGUUACAUCCUCCCCCUCUUAAACAAACAUUCGUCCUCGAAUGAGUCAACAAACAUACCUAAAGCCUCAAAUAGGUGAGGAUAUCUACUCUGCAUCUCCCGCUCAGUCUCCCAGGUAGCCUCCUCCACGGGCCGACCUCUCCACUGCACUUUCACUGAAGUUAUAUUCUUUGACCUCAACUUUCGGACCUGCCACUCCAAAAUAGCAACUGGCUCCACAUCAUAAGUCAAAUCACCAUCUAACUGAAUCGUGCUGAAAUCCAAAACAUGAGACGGAUCGCCAAUAUACUUUCGGAGCAUAGAAACAUGAAAUACCAGAUGCACACUUAACAAGCUGGGUGGCAAAGCAAGCGCAUAAGCCACCUCCCCAAUCCUCCGAAGUACCUUAAAAGGACCAAUGAACCGGGGACUCAACUUACCCCUCUUCCCAAAUCUCAUAACACCCUUCAUGGGUGAAACCUUCAAUAGAACAUUCUCCCCAAGAAUGUAAGACACAUCACAGACCUUCCUGUCAGCAUAACUCUUUUUUCUUGACUGCACUGUACGAAGCCGCUCCUGAAUCACCGUCACCUUGUCUGAAGCAUCCUGCACCAAGUCUGUACCCAAAAUCCUAGCCUCACUCAGAUCAAACCAACCAACCAGAGAUCUACACCGCCUCCCAUACAAAGCCUCAUAUGGAGUCAUCUGAAUACUCGACUGGUAACUGUUGUUGUAAGCAAAUUCUGCGAGCGGUAGAAACUGAUCCCAUGACCCUCCAAAAUCAAUGACACAAGCACACAACAUGUCCUCUAAUAUCUGAAUAGUUCGCUCGGACUGCCCGUCCGUCUGAGGUGAAAAGUUGUGCUCAACUCAACCUGAGUACCUAACUCUUGCUGCACAUCCCUCCAAAAUUGCGAAGUAAACUGAGUACCUCUAUCUGAAAUGAUGGAAACUGGAACACCAUGAAAGUGAACAAUCUAUCGAAUAUAGAUCUCUGCUAACCGCUCUGAAGAAUAGGUAGUACAAACAAGAAUGAAGUGCGCGGACUUGGUCAGCCGAUCCACAAUCACCCAAAUAGCCUCGAACUUCUUCAAAGUCCGUGGGAGUCUAACUACAAAAUCCAUGGUGAUUCUCUCCCACUUCCACUCUAGAAUAUCCAUCUGCUGAAGCAAGCCACCCGGUCUCUGAUGAUCAUAUUUCACCUACUGACAGUUGAGACACCAAGCUACAAAUCCCACAAUGUCCUUCUUCAUUCUCCUCCACCAAUAAUGCUAUCUCAGAUCCUGAUACAUCUUCGCAGUACCCGGAUGAAUGGAAUAUCGCGAGCUACGGGCCUCCUCCAGAAUCAAAUCCCGAAGCCCAUCCACAUUGGGCACACAUAUCUAGCCCUGUAUCCUCAACACCCCAUCAUCACCAAUAGUCACAUCUCCUGCAUCAUCGUGCUGAACUCUGUCCUUAAGGACAAGCAAAUGAGGAUCAUCAUACUGGUGCUCUUGAUGUAAUCAAAUAAGGAAGACCGAGAAACCACACAAGCUAAGACCCGACUAGGCUCCGAAAUAUCCAACCUCUCAAACCGAUUGGCCAAGGCCUGAACAUCAACUGCAAGAGGUCUAUCUCCAAUAGGAAUAUAUGCCAAACUGCCCAUACUCAAUGCCUUCCUACUCAAGGCAUCGACCACUACAUUGGCCUUUCCCGGAUGGUACAAGAUAGUGAUAUCAUAGUCCUUUAGCAACUCCAACCACCUCCGCUGCCUCAAAUUGAGAUCCUUCUACUUAAACAAGUGCUGGAGGCUGCGAUGAUCAGUAAACACCUCACAAAACAUGCCAUACAGGUAUGCCUCCAAAUCUUCAAUGCGUGAACAAUGGAAGCCAACUCUAGAUAUCCACACAUUUUCACCUCGAUCGAACGACAACGGGAUACUAUUUCGAUAAGUUCAAAAUAACACCCUUUAAGGCCAAGGACCUUCUCCAAAAUGAAGAGUUCGACCUCGAUCAAAUGACGACGGGUUACUAUUUCGAUAAGUUUUGAAUAACACCCUUUAAGGCCAAGGGCCUUUCCCAAAGUGAAGAGUUUAACCUUGAGCGAACGAUGACGAGUUACUAUUUGGAUAAAUUCGAAAUAACACCCUUUGAAGCCAAGGGCCUUCGCCAAAAUGUAGAGUUCGACCUCGAUCGAACAACGACGGGUUACUAUUUCGAUAAGUUCGAAAUAACACCCUUUAAGUCCAAGGAUCUUCGCAAAGUGAAUUGUUCGACCUCGAUCGAACGACGACAGGUUACUAUUUCGAUAAGUUCGAAAUAACACCCUUUAAGGAUAAGGGCCUUCGCCAAAAGGAAGAGUUUGACCUUGAUCGAACGACGAUGGGUCACUAUUUCGAUAAGUUCGAAAUAAAACCCUUUAUGCCCAAGGGCCUUUGCCAAAAGGAAGAGUUCGACCUCGAUCAAAUGACAACGGGUCACUAUUUCGAUAAGUUCGAAAUAACAUCCUUUAAGGGCAAGGGCCUUCACCAAAAUGAAGAGUUCGACCUCGAUCGAACAACGAUGGGUUCUAUUUUGAUAAGUUCGAAAUAACACCCUUUAAGGCCAAGGGCCUUCGCCAAAGUGAAGAGUUCGACCUCGAUCGAAUGACGACGGGUUACUAUUUCGAUAAGUUCGAAAUAACACCCUUUAAGGCCAAAGGCCUUCGCUAAAGUGAAGAUUCGACCUUGAUCAAACAACGAUGGGUUACUAUUUCGAUAAGUUCGAAAUAACACCCUUUAGGGCCAAAGACCAUCAAAAAGUGCAAAAAGACCGAGACCCACUGGGCGGGAAUCCAUCUCGCAUCGAAAUCACGCGCAACAUAAACAAGGGUAGAAUACAAGACAAAUAACAGUGAAAAACUCUUCUUUAUACAAAGUCUCCGCGCAAAUGGUAGCGGAUUACAUAAGACCCAAGUUAACAAUAUAUAAAAAAGGAGGGGCAACAAACAACAAAGAAAAAAAACAACGAUAAUCGACUACGAACGAAAAACGGGGAAGAAAACAUCAAAUGGAAAACAGAUCAAUGUCACUAUCCCUCUACUCUACAUAAUCAUCGCCACCCUCUCCAAUACCAUCUCCGGGAAGUUCUCCUUCGACGUUUGUGCCCCCAUUGGCUUCUGGUGUCACCGCAUCAUAUCCACAAUUGACGCGAGCCUCCCGCACUUUCACUCUCGCCUCUUCAUAGGCAUCUUUAGUCACAUUCCCCCCCUCCUACAAACUCUUGUAUAUAUCCUGCUGGGCUUCGGCGUAAACCUAAAGCUCGUGCAUGCAGCGAGGAACGGUGGUGGAGGUAGAUUCAAUCUGAGCCAACAGAUGCUAAUUUUUCGCCUCUAGUGCUGCGACCCGAUCCCCAGAACCGAGGCCUCUUAGUUAAUCUCGCUAAUGUGCUCCGCAUAUCUUGCCUCCAUAAGGGUGGCCAUCGCUCUCUUCGAUUCUUUCUCGGAUUGGAGGACGCGAAUGGUUUUCUCCAGGGCCACCACCCUCGCUGAAGCCGCGGACCAAGUACUCUCGAUGCUCUCCAACCCAACAAUCUUGUUCUCCAGCCCAGUCAAUUUCCCCAUCCAUUCCGCGCUUAGCGCCUCAACCUUGAUCAAGUUCAUAUCCAUCUCCGACUGCUGCUGUGGAUAGCCUGCAUUAAUUCUUGGUCCAUUUUCUGCAACUCCUCACCAAGAGCCCGACUACCAGGGUUUGUAUUCAGCCGCUCAUGCCUUUUGCGAUACUUGUUGCGGUAGCGACGAUAUUUCUCCAACAUCUUCAAGAAAAUCUUGGCCCGAAUGUUGGCCCUACGAAUGCUCUCCAUUUCCACCAUAUACGUCUGAAAAAUAAAAAGAUAGGUUAGAAUCCUAUCAUCAAGGAAAAGCGAAAGUAAGCAUAACAUACCCUUAAGCCCAUAGCGGCCACCUCGUCCAUCAAUUCAGCAUCGAGAAUGGUCCGAAGGGUCACAUUCUCAGAUACGGAGCAUAGCAUGCUGAACUGCGGCACUAGGUCCUCCGUGUCCCCAGGAGAUUGACAUCCGAAGGGAUCUCAAGAAUACGGGCCGAGCCUCCCACACGAACUAACGAGUGAGUAAGACCCUCCUCAAACAUCCUGACAUCAUCAGGGUCGAGGUCCGAUUCGGAUUCAUAGUCGUCGACCACCAUGGCGUUUCCUCUUUCAACAGCCGAAGAGGAAGCAUGACCAACUAUGGAGGACGUGGGUACGUCCGAAACUACAACGGUAGCCCCGAAAAUCUAACCUUCCACCACGAUAGGUUGCUGACCACCAACAACGUUGGGAAUCUCUGGUUGAGCCGAGGCGAUAACCGGUUCCGUCCCUAUGGGGGGAGCCACAAAAACCCCCUCUCCAGACCCUGUCAAAGGAGAGUCAUCUAGAUGAAUCACUGUUGGGGGUGUUGUCUCGAACUCCACUCGCCGUCUUUUUGAUGGCCACUCUUCUUCCCUAGUAGGCAAAGAUUCACCCGUCAGGCGAACAACAUGGGUUGGAACAUCGGCCUGAGAAGCGGCCCUCGCAGAGUAACCACGGACGCAGACUCAACUGAAGCAGCCCUCGACGAAGGUCGGGCAGUGGGUACCGCGAUAGGGCGAGCAGAUAAGGCUGGCUGCCGGAAAGCUAACGGAGGAGCCCUCACUCUCCGUACCCUCCCUGACACCGACAAACAUCAUGUGAGGAAUUAAAUACAAAGAUAAAAAGAGAAAAACAGUGAACAGAAAUGACAUCUUACCAGAAAGAGGCCUGUGCCCAUACUUGUCAUAGAAAGUCGCCCACAUGCGGACCCCUGCUGUAUGAGGGAGAAUAGCACUUACCCACUCGCGGAUAUUUUCGACAGGUGGAGGGGGCAAUUUCUCAGUUGCAAAAACAUAACAGGGUUUAGUACUAUAACGGAAAAUGGUCGGAUAUAUCUUCGACUAAAAGCAUGAGAAGUUCCACUUCUCAGGGAACCCCGUCGGAUCCACCACAAUGUGUUCAGUCUGCACAUAGAAAUAAUUCUCAUAAAAACGAUGGUUAGUUCUAUCAUACAUCUUCACCAUCAGACUCUUCGACCGUCGAGGACACAUGUGAAGCAUCAUGUCGCGGAUAAGCUGAGGAGCGAAGAUACUAAGCAGGUGGUAUAAGGUGAUCUCACGACCGGCGAGUUCCGCAAACUUGAGCAACAUAAGGAACAUCUUGUAUAGGUACGACGAAAGUUGGGCGGAGCAUACCUCAUAAAAGCGGUAGAAGUUUACCACUAGGAGAGGGAGAGGAAGUGUGUAUCCAAUAAGGAAGGGGUAAGCAUAAAAUACACAGUACCUACAACAGUCAAAGUGAACUAUGUCGUUUCCUUCCACCGGCCGCAUGUCGACAUAACCCGGGAUCCUCCACCUGGUUUUCAACUCUACAAUGCCUUCUUCUCUCAUAACAGAAGGAACAGGCUCCGGCUCCGCCCCGGCGCGACUGCUGAAGUCGGUCAAUUCUCUCCCAGUGCAAGGAAAAAUCUCAACUAUCAACAAGACCUCCUCGUCUUCCACUGCAUCUGCCCCUCCAGUGACCUGAGCAGCACUUUCCGGUGCUGGAAUCGUGACGGGGAGAUCGGUGCGAGAGGAAUCACCAGCCAUUUUGUCCAGAAGAUACGGCAAAAAGACAACGGAAAGAAAGGAUGAAAAUCCUCAGUUAACAAAAGGGCAAACGAAAACUUGGAAUGUCAGGAAGAAAGUAUAUUUGCAGAAUUCUUUCGCGUAAAAGGAAAAAAGUGUGUCAAUCGAAUGAUAAGUUCUUUCUAUUUAUAAGAGACAUAGAUCCCUCGAGCACGAAACCUAAGAGUCGCCAAUUGAACCUGAUAGGGCACGAAACGUUUCAGUUCCCCAGGGACGUGUGUCAUGAUGGCGGUAACCACAAAAUAAGGCUUCGAUACCAAACGACGUUUUGGUUCCGAAACAGCCGCAACGGUUCAUGGGUAUCAAGAGAACGCCGCCACCUCGCCUAAAACCCAAGUAAUGUAACUAAGGAACGAGAAGUCAGAUUUUGCUCAAACUCAUAGCAAUCAUGAUCCGUUUGCCGGGCCCGACAGAGGACGACCCCAAUAUCAUACCCUUUUUUACAAACUUCACUUAACUCUUUUAAAAUUAAUAAAAGUGAUUCGUAAAGCUUGAAAAGGAUUUUCUAAUUAGAACAUGACAAAAAUUGUGUUCAAAAGGAAAUAACUCAGAGUCGCCACCUGACAUUGAUUUCGGUGUGUCAGGUCAUCAUUUUUUUUAAAAAUGAUUUUUCCUUUAAGACACUUUGGACUCCAAAACUAAAUUCGCACCAGAGAUUUGGGUAAGGGGGUUUAUUUGACUCGGGGAGAAGGUGUUAGGCACUCCCCAAGUCUGUGAAAGUCACGGUUUCAUACUCGAUCUAGUUGGCUUUUAAAAUAUUUAAGUUGAGGUAAAAUAAAAACAGAAAAGAAAAAUAAACACGUAAGAUGCUCGAGGUCGUCCCCCUCCUAAUAAAAGAAAGAUAAAAAUAAAAUGAAAUAAGAAUAAAAGUACCACGAGUUCGCUUUCCGCCUCCAAUUAUAGAAUACUAAGGGGCAUUCCCCAGAAUAAAAAAUAUACAAAUCCUUCGGGGCAUUCCCAGGAUAAAUUUAACUAAGGGAAUGACCUCUUGCCUCAAAAUUAAACAAACAAAAUCCUAGAGUUUGCCUACCUAAACAUUAACGGCCUAAACAUGCUCCUAGCAAUUAAAAGCAACAAAGCAAGAUAAAGAACUAAGAAAAUCGAUCCAAGCUCAAAUUUUUGUAAUUCCCUUUCCAGCUCGUCCAGUACGCCUUUAUAAAGUCCAUGUUUCUAUUAAACCAACCCCUUGACCAAAUUCAAUUUUUUGUCCCGUUUAUCAAAUUGUGACUUAUUUGCCUUAAUAUUCCUAAUGCACUUCAAGUUUAACCCAAUUAAUUCAAAUUGAUCCAACACAAAAUUAACGAUAAUGCAAAAAACUACAGUGAAUCAAGGAAGCAAAAAAACACAAAACAAGACAUGAAACAUUCCAAAAACCACAAGCAAAAUAAUGAAAAAGAUCAAAGCACAUAUCAGAUGAGAGAAAAUUGAACCUCAUUGAUUGAUUUCUUUGUAUUAAACGUGACCUUGGUCGCAACAAACUCUGACAAACCAAAUUUGGCCGAAAAGCGCAAUAGUAGCAGGAGCUCGGACCGCGAAUUCCUUUGACAGACCUCUUCGACUCAAACUCAGGAUCCUGAGCAGCUAUGUUGGCGCUGAGAAUACUCUAAUCACUAGUUAUAAAAUUAGCUAAAAUUGGCUAUAACCUUUUGACCACUUAAAAUUCAGCAGACUCCCAUAAAUUUUUAAUAGAAGACAAAACCCUCUUGGCUCUUGUUUGAGAACUAGGUGAAGAAGUGAGAAAAGCAAUAGCCACAAAAAUAGUAAGUAAAAAGAGACGUUUGGCUAGCUUCUCUAUCUCUCUCGUCUGGAUGUGCACAAAUCCGGCGUCGCUACCGCAACGAGUAACACCAGAAUAGCGCUAAUGGGAAGCAAAGAUCAAAGGGUUGCCAAAGUAGGCAUGUCCGGCCAGAUCUAGUUUCGUCCUGUGUGUGUGUGUGUGUUUGAGAAUGAGGGGAGAUCACAACUGUUGGGAGUGGGUAGAGACGGGGUUGUCGUUGGCGGCUGUAUAUUCUGGAGAAGAUGACUGUGUGUGGCGGGUUAGAGGCUGGUGGCGGAGAGGUCUAACGAUGGUUCUCUUUUUAAAAUGGGGUGGUGGAAUUGGUCGGCGGUGUGGAGCUGGGUAGUGUCCAGGCUGCUGAUGGCUUGGAGAUGUGAAGAAGGUGGGAGAUUAGGGAGGGACAGCUGGUUUCUCGUUAGGGCUUUCUAGGGUUUUUUG
RNAcentral lists this long non-coding RNA (18278 nucleotides) under Nicotiana tabacum (common tobacco). Its description in RNAcentral is "long non-coding RNA (NTAB_LNC002831)". Lineage: Eukaryota; Viridiplantae; Streptophyta; Magnoliopsida; Solanales; Solanaceae. The record is from RNAcentral.